This 253-nucleotide ribosomal RNA is filed under the name uncultured bacterium. RNAcentral's name for it is "partial 16S ribosomal RNA". It matches the Rfam family "Bacterial small subunit ribosomal RNA", at positions 524 to 776 of the family's 1533-position model. The record is from RNAcentral.
UACGGAGGGUGCAAGCGUUAUCCGGAUUCACUGGGUUUAAAGGGUGCGUAGGCGGGCAGGUAAGUCCGUGGUGAAAUCUCUGAGCUUAACUCAGAAACUGCCAUGGAUACUAUUUGUCUUGAAUAUUGUGGAGGUAAGCGGAAUAUGUCAUGUAGCGGUGAAAUGCUUAGAUAUGACAUAGAACACCAAUUGCGAAGGCAGCUCACUACACGAAUAUUGACACUGAGGCACGAAAGCGUGGGGAUCAAACAGG